GACGAACCGAGCGAACGUUGUUCGGAAUCACUGGGCUUAAAGGGCGCGUAGGCGGGCAUUCAAGUCCGUGGUGAAAUCCGGCAGCUCAACUGUCGAACUGCCGCGGAUACUGGGUGUCUCGAGGGAGGUAGGGGCGCGCGGAACUAUUGGUGGAGCGGUGAAAUGCGUUGAUAUCAAUAGGAACUCCGGUGGCGAAGGCGGCACGCUGGACCUUUUCUGACGCUGAGGCGCGAAAGCCAGGGGAGCAAACGGG
RNAcentral lists this ribosomal RNA (253 nucleotides) under uncultured bacterium. RNAcentral describes it as "partial 16S ribosomal RNA". It matches the Rfam family "Bacterial small subunit ribosomal RNA", at positions 524 to 776 of the family's 1533-position model. The record is from RNAcentral.